UUUUUAAAUUUCCACAACUCACUCAAAAACGGAUAGUUUACGACAAAAAUCGAUUUUGCGGUUUCAACGAUUUUCUAAGUAGCCGGAAUGUAUUUCAUCGAGUCGGUGAGUUCAAUUCCAAUACAAAUUUUGUUUCCUAUAUGGUUUCAAUAAUUUCAACGUAAAGUGAAUAGCUUCAAGUUGCAGUCGUCAUGGUCAUAAAAUAUAAUGGAUUUAUAUACUUACAUACAUAUGUAUAUUUUAAUAAACAAUCCGUAAAUAUAACGAUACCGACAAUCGAAAGUGUGCAAAACUAUGUACAUACAUACAUACAUACAUAUAUAUGUAUGUCAUCAGCUCUGUUGACUUGACAGCCAACUUGAACCACGACUUGAAUUGAAAAAUUUAUAUUGUGGUAAGUGUGAGUGUAUUGGAACCUGAAAACAACUUCUUGAUCGUGUAACGUCCGGGAUAGGCGUAAUUCUAUAUAAACAAUUGAGGCACUUCACCAUCUUACCCAUACAUGCAGACAUAGGCCGCUUUCGACAAUGCAAACUGCAACUUUUGAAAAUUAGCUGUGUUAGCUGAAAUAUCAUUGCAAGUGAUUUAUGUUAAAAAUAAUUUUAAUAUUCAGCAUUAUCGCAAACUUCGCGUUAAUGCCAUUUCCCUUGGCUGAUAACCAGAAAUUGAAAAACCGGAGCAUAAAGUUAUAUCAAACAGAGGAAGACGGGUUAUGUCUGCGCAGACCCGAUGAAGUGCGUGAGCUAUUUUAGCUUCUUCAUCCUAGUGGAUAGGACCUUCUCAGAUGGCCACGGAAAAUGUCAACGAGGAAGCUCAAAACGUUUUAACUAACCAAAUGUAACAGCCCAGAUGGAAUAAAUAUGUUGAUGUUAAAUCAUCAUCUCGAUUAUGCAA
Long non-coding RNA from Bactrocera tryoni, 894 nucleotides. RefSeq lists it as uncharacterized. Lineage: Eukaryota; Metazoa; Arthropoda; Insecta; Diptera; Tephritidae. The transcript is spliced from 2 exons. The record is from RefSeq and is a predicted model, not a curated record.